Molecule: ribosomal RNA, 497 nt
Filed under: uncultured bacterium
Lineage: Bacteria
Description: partial 16S ribosomal RNA
Rfam family: Bacterial small subunit ribosomal RNA
Source: RNAcentral
GAUGAACGCUGGCGGCGUGCCUAAUACAUGCAAGUCGAGCGGACAGACGAGGAGCUUGCUCCUCUGACGUUAGCGGCGGACGGGUGAGUAACACGUGGAUAACCUACCUAUAAGACUGGGAUAACUUCGGGAAACCGGAGCUAAUACCGGAUAAUAUAUUGAACCGCACGGUUCAAUAGUGAAAGACGGUUUUGCUGUCACUUAUAGAUGGAUCCGCGCCGCAUUAGCUAGUUGGUAAGGUAACGGCUUACCAAGGCAACGAUGCGUAGCCGACCUGAGAGGGUGAUCGGCCACACUGGAACUGAGACACGGUCCAGACUCCUACGGGAGGCAGCAGUAGGGAAUCUUCCGCAAUGGGCGAAAGCCUGACGGAGCAACGCCGCGUGAGUGAUGAAGGUCUUCGGAUCGUAAAACUCUGUUAUUAGGGAAGAACAAAUGUGUAAGUAACUAUGCACGUCUUGACGGUACCUAAUCAGAAAGCCACGGCUAACUACGUG